Bemisia tabaci is the source of this 773-nucleotide long non-coding RNA. RefSeq lists it as uncharacterized. NCBI's taxonomy places the organism in Eukaryota, Metazoa, Arthropoda, Insecta, Hemiptera, Aleyrodidae. The record is from RefSeq and is a predicted model, not a curated record.
CUUGACAUUACUCGUGUGGUAUUUUGAAAACUGUCGACACUUUUAAACUGCAUCGAAUCAUCAACAUCCAGGAUUGCUUUUAGCAGAGCUUUUUUGGGGAGCCUUAAAAACAGUGUUAUCGGUGACGCAUACUACGCCUGAACCCACGCAGGUGGUGCUCCAGAGGAUUUAAUUUUCUGCGAUUUCCGAUACUUGAUUCUGAAUCAAUCCAAUAGAGAAAGCGAUGAUAAAAAGAAGAUGACGUCUGUCAGAGGUACAAAGAGAGAAUAUUUGGUUGCGCAAUCAAGACGUCCGAAAUUGUAUCGGUCAAUUUGGAGCUCUUAAAAUUCUUUUCAGAUCUCACGAUACAACAUGAGGAGGUGUCUGGAUUUGAUCGUCAUCCUUCUCGUAGCUUCAUCUCUGACGUCAUUCAUAACGGGGGCUCCAUGGAUGAUCCCUGUUGUCAGCGGCUCGAACUAUGAACAUACAGCACACGCAGAUGACACCUCACACGCAAUGAAUUACAAAUAUGAUAUGGGAAAUGGGGAUAAAAAUGUUCACAUAAAUAACAAUGUCAAGAUAGAAAUUCACAAGUAUCAAACAGUGCCUGGUUCAGGAGGAUAUCCGCCUGGUUCGGGGGGAUAUCCGCCUAGCCCAGUUGGCUAAAGUACUUACAUGAACCCAAAAACAUUAUGGAUACUUGCAUGUACAAUAGAUUACACUUGUGACCGUCUACGGGGUAAAAUCCUCAAAAAUUCAAAAAUUGGUAAUUAAAUGCAACUCGUAUGAUGGGA